UACGGAGGGUGCAAGCGUUAUCCGGAUUCACUGGGUUUAAAGGGUGCGCAGGUGGGCUGGUAAGUUCGAUGUGAAAGCCCCGGGCUUAACCCGGGAAUGGCAUUGGAUACUACUGGUCUGGAGGAUCGGAGGGGGGACUGGAAUUCUUGGUGUAGCAGUGAAAUGCGUAGAUAUCAAGAGGAACACCAGUGGCGAAGGCGGCUCUCUGGACCGAUACUGACGCUGAGGCGCGAAAGCGUGGGGAGCAAACAGG
RNAcentral lists this ribosomal RNA (253 nucleotides) under uncultured bacterium. Its description in RNAcentral is "partial 16S ribosomal RNA". It matches the Rfam family "Bacterial small subunit ribosomal RNA", at positions 524 to 776 of the family's 1533-position model. The record is from RNAcentral.